Molecule: non-coding RNA, 62 nt
Organism: Anolis carolinensis (green anole)
Lineage: Eukaryota; Metazoa; Chordata; Lepidosauria; Squamata; Anolidae
Source: Rfam
UGUAAACAUCCUACACUCUCAGCUGUGUAGAUAAGAAGAAAGCUGGGAGAAGGCUGUUUACU